This is a long non-coding RNA of Teleopsis dalmanni, 1406 nucleotides long. RefSeq lists it as uncharacterized. The transcript has 9 exons. Lineage: Eukaryota; Metazoa; Arthropoda; Insecta; Diptera; Diopsidae. The record is from RefSeq and is a predicted model, not a curated record.
UUUAGCCAAUCAGUUUGUUCAGAAAUCGUCUUCAGUAAAUUAGAAGACAUCCGUAUAAUAAAUUCCAAAUUUCUUUUUUUUGGCAUAUAUUCUCGUUCUUGUUCAAUAAAAUUUUCAAUUGGAUCAAUAGAGCUGCUCAAACCUACAAGUUGGAAUUAUUCUGUAUCAAGUAAUCUCAAUAUAUUAUUACUACUUAGUCUUGUUUUUCAAGAGCAAUUUGUCUAUACCCAACAUUUUUUAUGGUAAAAAUCUGAAAUGCAAUACAAAGAUUGAGUUAAAAUUUGAUGUUCUGAGUGUUACAUCAUAAGCAGUUUUUGAAAUUUCAUGAGAAAUCUACAAAGUUAUUCAACCUGUGGUUCCGAAAUUUAAGAUAUCAAUCUGAGAGUUGGUUGAACUACUUUUUAAUCCAUAAUUCAAAAAUUAUUUGUGAUAACAGUUGCCUUAUAGCUCGUUGAUUUCAAGUGAGUACUACUGGAGAAUUGAACGUUAUUAUCCAAGUUUUUUUAAACACUGAAUUCUAUAGAUAACAUAUAUUAUUUAUGAUAACAGUUGCCUUAUAGCUCGUUGAUUUCAAGUGAGUACUACUGGAGAAUUGAACGUUAUCAUCCAAGUUUUAUUAAACACUGAAUUCUAAACUACAUAUAUGCUUUUCACUUAAAAUGCUUGGAAUCGUGAUCACUUGAAUUUAAUUUUGUGAACUUUUGAUUUAGAAAUAUGUCGGGUAAAUUCACUAAAGCAUUAGCGCGAUUCGUUCUAAGGCUUAGUAUUUUGAAUAACAAUGAAAGUAUACCUGUAAUCCAAUAUUUCAUUCCAUCAAUAAUUAUUGGUAUGGGCGUUUUCUUUCUUCUACGUUAUAUGCAAGCUUGGUUAAAAGAGGAUAAAGAUAAAGUGAAGUCGCAAACUGCAGCUGAUAAUCUUGUAGAAGAAACCAAAACGAAACCCAAAAAACGUGGCUUGAAGAGAUAUGUUAAAAAAGUUAACAAGAAAGACAUGGACGUGUUUAGCUCAAAAUAUGUUGACCGUAGUUAGUUUAUAUCACACACGUAGAUAAAAUGUGGAUUAGCACCAUUUUUUUGAAAAGCCAAACUCUAUUCGUAAGAAUGAUGUAAAGUAGUUAAAAAAUAAAAUAUAACAAAAAGGAACUACAUGGACCCAAUUGGUGUUAAAAAAGCUGGAUUUCUUGAAUAUUGUAGCAAGAAGCUAAGAUAAUAAGAAACUAAAAUGAUCCACCGAUACAAAAAUUAUAUGUAAGAAGUAAUAUUAUUUGAUGUGAUUAUAAAGUACAAAGUACAAUUCGAACAUUUACAUUUGUUUCAACAAAAUUCAAGUCAUAGAAUGUGUAUUACAACAGUUGUAACAAAAAAAAAACAAACAAUUAAAUAGUCACCAAACAAACAAAACCCAAA